GGAAGUUAACGGAGGCUUACCUCCUGCCGCUUCUGAUACUGCUAUGGCUUGAGUUUGGUAGUGGGAUGACGGAAUUCCUGGUGUAGCGGUGAAAUGCACAGAUAUCAGGAGGAACACCGGUGGCGAAGUGCGGUCAUCUGGGCCAAUACUGACGCUGAGGAGCGAAAGCGUGGGGAGCGAACAGGAUUAGAUACCCUGGUAGUCCACGCCGUAAACGGUGGGCACUAGGUGUGGGGACCUAUCAACGGUUUCCGUGCCGCAGCUAACGCAUUAAGUGCCCCGCCUGGGGAGUACGGCGCAAGGCUAAAACUCAAAGGAAUUGACGGGGGCCCGCUACAAGCGGCGGAGCAUGUUGCUUAAUUCGACGCAACGCGAAGGAACCUUACCUAGAUUGAACUACGCGGGAAAAACCACAGAGAUGUGGUGUCCUUCGGGGUCCCGCGAUAGGUGGUGCAUGGCUGUCGUCAGCUCGUGUCGUGAGAUGUCGGGUUAAGUCCCGCAACGAGCGCAACCCUUGUUCUAUGUUGCCAGCGCGUAACU
RNAcentral lists this ribosomal RNA (540 nucleotides) under uncultured Actinomycetes bacterium. RNAcentral describes it as "bacterial SSU rRNA". It matches the Rfam family "Bacterial small subunit ribosomal RNA", at positions 590 to 1130 of the family's 1533-position model. Lineage: Bacteria; Bacillati; Actinomycetota; Actinomycetes. The record is from RNAcentral.